GGGGCGGUAGCUCAGUUGGGAGAGCGCAGCAAUCGCACUGCUGAGGUCGUGGGUUCGACUCCCAUCCGCUCCACCA
RNAcentral lists this transfer RNA (76 nucleotides) under Thioalkalivibrio denitrificans. Its description in RNAcentral is "tRNA-Ala". It matches the Rfam family "tRNA". From Rfam's summary of the family: Transfer RNA (tRNA) molecules are approximately 80 nucleotides in length. Their secondary structure includes four short double-helical elements and three loops (D, anti-codon, and T loops). Lineage: Bacteria; Pseudomonadati; Pseudomonadota; Gammaproteobacteria; Chromatiales; Ectothiorhodospiraceae. RNAcentral also lists the same sequence under 14 other names. The record is from RNAcentral.